GAUGAACGCUGGCGGCGUGCCUAAUACAUGCAAGUCGAGCGAACAGACGAGGAGCUUGCUCCUCUGACGUUAGCCGCGGACGGGUGAGUAACACGUGGAUAACCUACCUAUAAGACUGGGAUAACUUCGGGAAACCGGAGCUAAUACCGGAUAAUAUAUUGAACCGCAUGGUUCAAUAGUGAGAGACGGUUUUGCUGUCACUUAUAGAUGGAUCCGCGCCGCAUUAGCUAGUUGGGAAGGUAACGGCUUACCAAGGCAACGAUGCGUAGCCGACCGCAGAGGCUGAUCGGCGACCUUGGAGGUGGGCCGCGGUCAAUAGGCCUAAGGGAGGCAGCAGUAGGGAACCGGCCGCAAUGGGCGAAAGUUUGACGGAGCAACGCCGCGCGAGUUACGGAGGUCUCCGGAUCGGAAAACUCUGUUAUUAGGUAAGAACAAAUUUGGAAGUAACUAUGCACGGCUUGACGGUACCUAGUCAGAAAGCCACGGCUAACUACGUG
RNAcentral lists this ribosomal RNA (497 nucleotides) under uncultured bacterium. RNAcentral describes it as "partial 16S ribosomal RNA". It matches the Rfam family "Bacterial small subunit ribosomal RNA", at positions 28 to 507 of the family's 1533-position model. The record is from RNAcentral.